This 397-nucleotide ribosomal RNA is filed under the name uncultured bacterium. RNAcentral's name for it is "partial 16S ribosomal RNA". It matches the Rfam family "Bacterial small subunit ribosomal RNA", at positions 523 to 918 of the family's 1533-position model. The record is from RNAcentral.
AUACGUAGGGGGCGAGCGUUGUCCGGAAUGAUUGGGCGUAAAGGGCGCGUAGGCGGCUUGUUAAGUCUGGAGUGGAAGUCCUCUUUUCAAGGGAGGAAUUGCUUUGGAAACUGGCGGGCUUGAGUGCAGGAGAGGUUAUCGGAAUUCCCGGUGUAGCGGUGAAAUGCGUAGAGAUCGGGAGGAACACCAGUGGCGAAGGCGGGUAACUGGACUGCAACGGACGCUGAGGCGCGAAAGUGUGGGGAGCAAACAGGAUUAGAUACCCUGGUAGUCCACACUGUAAACGAUGAGUGCUAGGUGUAGGAGGUAUCGACCCCUUCUGUGCCGGAGUAAACGCAAUAAGCACUCCGCCUGGGGAGUACGGUCGCAAGAUUAAAACUCAAAUGAAUUGACGGGG